This is a long non-coding RNA of Arabidopsis thaliana (thale cress), 241 nucleotides long. RefSeq annotates it as other RNA. Lineage: Eukaryota; Viridiplantae; Streptophyta; Magnoliopsida; Brassicales; Brassicaceae. The transcript has a single exon. The record is from RefSeq.
CUUGUCAUUCCCAGCUGUGUAUAUAUAUUAACCCAUGGAUGGGUGAUUAAAUGGUGAUAUAGUUUACGACUAAACUAGAAGACAACAGAAAAAGAUGCAGAUUUGGAGUUGGCGACAAACAUAGAUAACUAAAUGGUUAUAAAAGAAAAAGAGAGAAGAAAAUCGAAUAAGGCCAAUAAUAUAUAAAGUGGGGAUGGGAAUAAACAUUUUUAUAUUUGUCUUCUAUUCCCUUCUUGUCCGU